UACGGAGGGGGCUAGCGUUGUUCGGAAUUACUGGGCGUAAAGCGCACGUAGGCGGCUUUGUAAGUUAGAGGUGAAAGCCCGGAGCUCAACUCCGGAACUGCCUUUAAGACUGCAUCGCUUGAACGUCGGAGAGGUAAGUGGAAUUCCGGGUGUAGAGGUGAAAUUCGUAGAUAUUCGGAAGAACACCAGUGGCGAAGGCGACUUACUGGACGACUGUUGACGCUGAGGUGCGAAAGCGUGGGGAGCAAACAGG
RNAcentral lists this ribosomal RNA (253 nucleotides) under uncultured bacterium. RNAcentral's name for it is "partial 16S ribosomal RNA". It matches the Rfam family "Bacterial small subunit ribosomal RNA", at positions 524 to 776 of the family's 1533-position model. The record is from RNAcentral.